CUACUUACCUGGCAGGGGAGAUACCGUGAUCAGGAAGGUGGUUUUCCCAGGGCAAGGCUUAUCCGUUACACAUCGGAUGUGCUGACCCCUUCCAUUUCCUCAAAUGCGAGAAACUUGACUGCAUAAUUUGUGGUAGUGAGGGACGACGUUCGCACUGUCCCCUG
This is a small nuclear RNA of Saimiri boliviensis boliviensis (Bolivian squirrel monkey), 164 nucleotides long. Its record names the gene U1. It matches the Rfam family "U1 spliceosomal RNA". Rfam says of the family: U1 is a small nuclear RNA (snRNA) component of the spliceosome (involved in pre-mRNA splicing). Its 5' end forms complementary base pairs with the 5' splice junction, thus defining the 5' donor site of an intron. Lineage: Eukaryota; Metazoa; Chordata; Mammalia; Primates; Cebidae. The record is from Ensembl.